RNAcentral lists this ribosomal RNA (440 nucleotides) under uncultured bacterium. RNAcentral describes it as "partial 16S ribosomal RNA". It matches the Rfam family "Bacterial small subunit ribosomal RNA", at positions 339 to 795 of the family's 1533-position model. The record is from RNAcentral.
CUACGGGCCGCACCAGUAGGGAAUAUUGGACAAUGGGCGAAAGCCUGAUCCAGCAACACCGCGUGCACGAUGACGGCCUUCGGGUUGUAAAGUGCUUUUAGAGGAGAUGAGAAAGGACAGUAUCCUCUGAAUAAGCCUCGGCGAACUACGUGCCAGCAGCCGCGGUAAAACGUAGGAGGCAAGCGUUAUCCGGAUUUAUUGGGCGUAAAGCGCGUGCAGGCGGUCUAGCAAGUUGGAUGUGAAAGCUCCCGGCUCAUCUGGGAGAGGUCGUUCAAUACUGUUAGACUAGAGAAUAGGAGAGGGAGGUGGAAUUCCGGGUGUAGUGGUGAAAUGCGUAGAUAUCCGGAGGAACACCAGUGGCGAAAGCGGCCUCCUGGACUAUUUCUGACGCUAAGACGCGAAAGCUAGGGUAGCAAACGGGAUUAGAUACCCCAGUAGUC